ACGGCGGGGGCCCCGGUGCGGCGCAGCACCGCCCGCACCCGGGCGAGCAGCAGGUCGACGUCGAACGGCUUGGUGAUCCAGUCGUCGCCGCCGUA
RNAcentral lists this transfer RNA (95 nucleotides) under Paractinoplanes brasiliensis. RNAcentral describes it as "Actinoplanes brasiliensis tRNA-Ala". Lineage: Bacteria; Bacillati; Actinomycetota; Actinomycetes; Micromonosporales; Micromonosporaceae. The record is from RNAcentral.